Molecule: ribosomal RNA, 455 nt
Filed under: Capnocytophaga granulosa
Lineage: Bacteria; Pseudomonadati; Bacteroidota; Flavobacteriia; Flavobacteriales; Flavobacteriaceae
Description: bacterial SSU rRNA
Rfam family: Bacterial small subunit ribosomal RNA
Source: RNAcentral
GAUAACGCUAGCGGCAGGCCUAACACAUGCAAGUCGAGGGAGAAGCUCUUCGGGGCAGAAACCGGCGCACGGGUGCGUAACGCGUAUGCAACCUACCUUUCACAGGGGGAUAGCCCGAAGAAAUUUGGAUUAAUACCCCAUAAUAUUAUUGGAUGGCAUCAUUUGAUAAUUAAAAUUACGAUGGUGAAAGAUGGGCAUGCGUCCUAUUAGCUAGUUGGAGUGGUAACGGCACCCCAAGGCUACGAUAGGUAGGGGUCCUGAGAGGGAGAUCCCCCACACUGGUACUGAGACAGGGACCAGACUCCUACGGGAGGCAGCAGUGAGGAAUAUUGGUCAAUGGUCGGAAGACUGAACCAGCCAUGCCGCGUGCAGGAAGAAUGCCUUAUGGGUUGUAAACUGCUUUUAUAUGGGAAGAAUAAGGAGUACGUGUACUUUGAUGACGGUACCAUAUGGAU